AUAGUGUACCAUUCUCUUGGUAGCAUUUGGCAACAUUUCCCCUUACCAAUAAUGGAGAAGUUCAAUGUAGCUAGAGUUUUAUUGUUCCUUCUCCAACUUGGAACUUUGUUCAUUGCCCAUGCAUGUCCUUAUUGCCCUUAUCCUCCUUCCACCCCAAAACACCCUAAAUUGCCUCCGAAACAUCCAUCUCCUAAGGUAAAACCACCUUCUACCCCCCACCACCCCAAACAAUCUCCUCAUGCAAAACCGCCUUCUACCCCUACCCACCCUAAAUAUCCCCCUCAUGUAAAACCACCUUCCAACCCCACUCAUCCUAAACAUCACCCUCAUGUAAAACCACCUUCUACCCCUACCUACCCUAAUCACCCCCCACAUGUAAAACCACCUUCCACCCCUAAACACCCUACGCCAAAACCAUGCCCUCCACCCCUACCUCCACAUGUCAAGCCACCUCAUGUAAAACCUCUAUAUGUCCCUAAACCACCAGUAGUACAUCCACCUCCCACUGUCAGUCCACCUAAUGUGCCUAAACCACCAUCACCAACACCACCUGUUGUUUUAC
RNAcentral lists this long non-coding RNA (562 nucleotides) under Nicotiana benthamiana. RNAcentral describes it as "long non-coding RNA (NBEN_LNC002777)". The record is from RNAcentral. Lineage: Eukaryota; Viridiplantae; Streptophyta; Magnoliopsida; Solanales; Solanaceae.